RNAcentral lists this ribosomal RNA (931 nucleotides) under Fructilactobacillus sanfranciscensis. RNAcentral's name for it is "bacterial SSU rRNA". It matches the Rfam family "Bacterial small subunit ribosomal RNA", at positions 74 to 992 of the family's 1533-position model. The record is from RNAcentral. Lineage: Bacteria; Bacillati; Bacillota; Bacilli; Lactobacillales; Lactobacillaceae.
UGAUUUUGGAUCCGACUGAGUGGCGAACUGGUGAGUAACACGUGGGUAACCUGCCCAGAAGAAGGGGAUAACACCUGGAAACAGAUGCUAAUACCGUAUAACAACAAGAACCACAUGGUUCUUGUUUGAAAGCUGGCCUUUGUGCUAGUGCUUCUGGAUGGACCCGCGGCGUAUUAGCUAGUUGGUGAGAUAAUAGCUCACCAAGGCAAUGAUACGUAGCAGACCUGAGAGGGUAAUCUGCCACAAUGGGACUGAGACACGGCCCAUACUCCUACGGGAGGCAGCAGUAGGGAAUCUUCCACAAUGGACGAAAGUCUGAUGGAGCAACGCCGCGUGAGUGAAGAAGGGUUUCGGCUCGUAAAACUCUGUUGUUAGAGAAGAACAGCCGUGAGAGCAACUGCUCACGGUAUGACGGUAUCUAACCAGAAAGUCACGGCUAACUACGUGCCAGCAGCCGCGGUAAUACGUAGGUGGCAAACGUUGUCCGGAUUUAUUGGGCGUAAAGGGAGCGCAGGCGGUUUAUUAAGUCUGAUGUGAAAGCCUUCGGCUUAACCGGAGAAGUGCAUCGGAAACUGAUAAACUUGAGUGCAGAAAAGGAUAGUGGAACUUCAUGUGUAGCGGUGAAAUGCGUAGAUAUAUGAAGGAACACCAGUGGCGAAGGCGGCUAUCUGGUCUGUAACUGACGCUGAGGCUCGAAAGCAUGGGUAGCAAACAGGAUUAGAUACCCUGGUAGUCCAUGCCGUAAACGAUGAAUGCUAGGUGUUGGAAGGUUUCCGCCUUUCAGUGCCGCAGCUAACGCAUUAAGCAUUCCGCCUGGGGAGUACGACCGCAAGGUUGAAACUCAAGGAAUUGACGGGGACCCGCACAAGCGGUGGAGCAUGUGGUUUAAUUCGAUGCUACGCGAAGAACCUACCAGGACUUGACAUCUUCU